Sinocyclocheilus anshuiensis is the source of this 654-nucleotide long non-coding RNA. The record is from Ensembl. Lineage: Eukaryota; Metazoa; Chordata; Actinopteri; Cypriniformes; Cyprinidae.
GCGCCAACUCGUUGUUGUGUACGUUAUGGCAAAACUCAAAUCUGAUAGGUGACACACACAUACCGUACUCGAAGGUAGAUCUUAAGCGCUGAAUGAAGAGAAGCGUUUGUCCUGCACAGCACAGGUACAAACGAAAAACACAAGCCAAAGAAAACGACGCAAAUUUGGCACCCAAGCUAUGCGAAAACUACACAUAAGUAAGUAUAUGUGCUGCCGAAGCAAGCACGAACAGAGAGCUCGGACGAGGGCUAGAUAUACCACUGACUCCCAGCUAUGUUUCACAUAGGUGCUGUGAUUGGACCGCUCGGUAUGACGCAGAGGCGCUCUUGGUUACAUGUCACACACCCUCCCCCACAGACAGCGCACAACCUCCCGCCGGGACAAAGAGCGGCCGCCUUCCUCACAGAAGAGCAUAAAGGGCUGAACGACCAGGAAACUCUCCUUUCAGAACAACAGAGGCCGUGAGAACACUGUGAACCUCAAAGCUCAACUCAGAACAGCCACUAGAAGGUGGAGAAAUUACAGGUUAUGUAGAAUAUGACAAAUAUGACCAAUAAUAAACAACAGGACCCACCAAUACCUGUCUAAACUUAUUUGAAAAGGUAAGGGGCCCAGAGCAAUAUAACGUUAGAGUGACCUAAGAGUGAAUAAAUC